GGGGAUAUAGCUCAGUUGGGAGAGCGCUGCGUUCGCAAUGCAGAGGUCGAGGGUUCGAAUCCCUCCAGCUCCACCA
RNAcentral lists this transfer RNA (76 nucleotides) under Actinomycetota bacterium. Its description in RNAcentral is "Actinobacteria bacterium (groundwater metagenome) tRNA-Ala". It matches the Rfam family "tRNA". Rfam says of the family: Transfer RNA (tRNA) molecules are approximately 80 nucleotides in length. The record is from RNAcentral. Lineage: Bacteria; Bacillati; Actinomycetota.